Molecule: ribosomal RNA, 468 nt
Filed under: uncultured bacterium
Lineage: Bacteria
Description: partial 16S ribosomal RNA
Rfam family: Bacterial small subunit ribosomal RNA
Source: RNAcentral
GACGAACGCUGGCGGCGUGCUUAGCACAUGCAAGUCGAACGGAAAGGCCCUGCUUUUGUGGGGUGCUCGAGUGGCGAACGGGUGAGUAACACGUGAGUAACCUGCCCUUGACUUUGGGAUAACUUCAGGAAACUGGGGCUAAUACCGGAUAGGAGCUCCUGCUGCAUGGUGGGGGUUGGAAAGUUUCGGCGGUUGGGGAUGGACUCGCGGCUUAUCAGCUUGUUGGUGGGGUAGUGGCUUACCAAGGCUUUGACGGGUAGCCGGCCUGAGAGGGUGACCGGCCGCAUUGGGACUAAGAUACGGCCCAGACUCCUACGGGAGGCAGCAGUGGGGAAUAUUGCACAAUGGGCGGAAGCCUGAUGCAGCAACGCCGCGUGCGGGAUGACGGCCUUCGGGUUGUAAACCGCUUUCGCCUGUGACGAAGCGUGAGUGACGGUAAUGGGUAAAGAAGCACCGGCUAACUACGUG